UACGAAGGGGGCUAGCGUUGUUCGGAAUUACUGGGCGUAAAGCGCGCGCAGGCGGUCUUCCAAGUCAGUGGUGAAAGCCCGGAGCUCAACUCCGGAACUGCCAUUGAAACUGUUAGACUUGAGGACGAGAGAGGUAAGUGGAAUUCCGAGUGUAGAGGUGAAAUUCGUAGAUAUUCGGAAGAACACCAGUGGCGAAGGCGACUUACUGGACACAUAUUGACGCUGAGGUGCGAAAGCGUGGGGAGCAAACAGG
This 253-nucleotide ribosomal RNA is filed under the name uncultured bacterium. RNAcentral describes it as "partial 16S ribosomal RNA". It matches the Rfam family "Bacterial small subunit ribosomal RNA", at positions 524 to 776 of the family's 1533-position model. The record is from RNAcentral.